This is a long non-coding RNA of Oncorhynchus tshawytscha (Chinook salmon), 1031 nucleotides long. RefSeq lists it as uncharacterized. Lineage: Eukaryota; Metazoa; Chordata; Actinopteri; Salmoniformes; Salmonidae. The record is from RefSeq and is a predicted model, not a curated record. The transcript has 3 exons.
AGAGGUCCAGUCUCUCCUACCAGCAACACUGGAUCCUCAUGGACUGCAGACUGUGUAAACACAAAUUGUACAGAAGAGCAUAUAAAGCAGCCACCAAAGAAGAGCAUGACCACAUUCUACAGCAGGUGAUGGGCAGAGCUAUCCCUCUGAAUAUGAAGUUCUAUGCUGACAAGAUGUAAUACAUGGCAGGCAUUCUAUCUAAUACUGACUGGAACUAUACGCUAUACAUGGGCCGAAUGGCCUCUCUCCUGUUUGGAUCUUCAGGUGCCUCUUCAGCUGGUGCUGGUGGGAGAAACUCUUCUCACACUGGGGGCAGCUGUAGGGUUUCUCCCCUGUGUAAGAAAUCCCAUGUCGCCUCUUUAGGUUGAACGAGUGUGAGAAACUGGCCAGGAACAGGUGGCAGCCAAACAUUUGUCUAUUAAUGUUCUGUGGGGACCCCAGGAAGAGUAACUGCUGAUUUUGCAACAGCUAAUGGGGAUCCUAAUAAAAUACCAAAUACCACAGCUGGUUGUAGAAGUUGUCCAAAGAGAGAGCCUAAUGUUGCAGAAACUUGGUUCAGGAUCUCUGGAGGUAUUUCAGCAUUCCCUGGCCGUUCAAUCAAAUGUCAAAUGUUCUGUUAUAUAACAAUCCAAAAUUGUAGCCUAUACAUUGACAAUGUACAUGUUUUCAUUUAGAAAUCUACAUCAUGCAUGUUUUUGUUUACAUUUACAAAGCUCAUAUCUCCCUCUGAUUGUAUGAUUAUCUUUUGUGUUUAUGAUUUAAAGUAAAUAUUUCUCAUCAAUGAUCAACACUGGAUGAAUUGAAUAAAUAGCUAGGUUUAGCCUAAAACAUUGGAAACAUAAUAUAUGUUUAAUGACCAGUCUUUUAUCAACAUUUGGUUUUUCUUGUAUUUCCACAAGUGCAUUUCUUAGAAAACAACAAUGAUUGGGUUUAGAUCUUCUGUUAAAUCUGUGUUUCCAUUAUUUUGUGAAAGUGACUAGAGUAAGCAAGUUCAAUGGUAGAAAUGAUGGCUAUGCUUCUUACUGGACAUA